Long non-coding RNA from Ictalurus punctatus (channel catfish), 596 nucleotides. NCBI's taxonomy places the organism in Eukaryota, Metazoa, Chordata, Actinopteri, Siluriformes, Ictaluridae. The record is from Ensembl.
AAAAUAUCAAGGCAUCUGAAGCUUUGCUUCCUUUUCAUAUUAUAUGUGUAUGUAAGUGUAAGUGUGUGUGUAUUUGUGUAGGUGAGUGUGUAUGUGUGUAGGUGAGUGUGAAUGUGGGUGUAAAUGAGUGUGCAUGUGCAUGUAUGUGUGUGUGUAUGUGUGGAGGUGAGUGUGCAUGUGUGUGUAUGUGUGUGGGUGAGUGUGGAGGUGAGUGUGUAUGUGUGUGUAUGUGUGUGUAUGUGUGGAGGUGAGUGUGCAUGUGUGUGUGUAUGUGUGGAGGUGAGUGUGCAUGUGUGUGUAUGUGUGGAGGUGAGUGUGCAUGUGUGUGCAUGUGUGUAGGUGAGUGUGCAUGAGUGUGUAUGUGUGUAUGUGAAUCUGCAUAUCGGAAUAUGUUUGUUGGUGAUUGAUUGUGUGUGUGUGUGUUUAUGUGUGCAUAUGUCUAGGAUGUGUGUCUAGUGUGUAAACGCGUGUGUGUUUGCUGAUCUGUGUCCCUUUGUGUGUGUGUGUAUGUGAGAUGAAUGGCUUAUCCCAGCAGGGUGUGUGAGCCGCGUGUGGAGUAAAGGCAAUUGGCCUGGUGGCUGUUAGCUCAGAGGGGC